RNAcentral lists this ribosomal RNA (667 nucleotides) under uncultured cyanobacterium. Its description in RNAcentral is "bacterial SSU rRNA". It matches the Rfam family "Bacterial small subunit ribosomal RNA", at positions 99 to 795 of the family's 1533-position model. Lineage: Bacteria; Bacillati; Cyanobacteriota. The record is from RNAcentral.
CGGACGGGUGAGUAACGCGUGAGAAUUUGCCUUUAGGAGGGGGACAACAACUGGAAACGGUUGCUAAUACCCCAUAUGCUUUCGAGUGAAAUGGAUUUUUCCGCCUAAAGAGAAGCUUGCGGCUGAUUAGCUUGUUGGUGAGGUAAUGGCUCACCAAGGCGACGAUCAGUAUCUGGUUUGAGAGGACGAUCAGACACACUGGAACUGAGACACGGUCCAGACUCCUACGGGAGGCAGCAGUGGGGAAUUUUCCGCAAUGGGCGAAAGCCUGACGGAGCAAUACCGCGUGAGGGAUGACGGCCUAUGGGUUGUAAACCUCUUUUUUCAGGGAGGAAUCAAAUGACGUGUACCUGAAGAAUAAGCAUCGGCUAACUCCGUGCCAGCAGCCGCGGUAAGGCGGAGGAUGCAAGUGUUAUCCGGAAUCACUGGGCGUAAAGCGUCUGUAGGUGGUCCAAUAAGUCAACUGUUAAAUCUUGAGGCUCAACCUCAAAAUCGCAGUCGAAACUAUUAGACUAGAGUAUAGUAGGGGUAAAGGGAAUUUCCAGUGGAGCGGUGAAAUGCGUAGAGAUUGGAAAGAACACCGAUGGCGAAGGCACUUUACUGGGCUAUUACUAACACUCAGAGACGAAAGCUAGGGUAGCAAAUGGGAUUAGAUACCCCAGUAGUC